AUUGAACGCUGGCGGCAGGCCUCACACAUGCAAGUCGAGCGAGCGGCGGACGGGUGAGUAAUGUAUGGGGAUCUGCCCGAUAGAGGGGGAUAACUACUGGAAACGGUAGCUAAUACCGCAUACUAUCAGAUGAACCCAUAUGGGAUUAGCUUGUUGGUGGGGUAAAGGCUCACCUAGGCGACGAUCUCUAGCUGGUCUGAGAGGAUGAACAGCCACACUGGGACUGAGACACGGUCCAGACUCCUACGGGAGGCAGCAGUGGGGAAUAUUGCACAAUGGGCGCAAGCCUGAUGCAGCCAUGCCGCGUGUAUGAAGAAGGCCUUAGGGUUGUAAAGUACUUUCAGCGGGGAGGCGUUACCCGCAGAAGAAGCACCGGCUAACUCCGUGCCAGCAGCCGCGGUAAUAC
Molecule: ribosomal RNA, 406 nt
Filed under: uncultured bacterium
Lineage: Bacteria
Description: partial 16S ribosomal RNA
Rfam family: Bacterial small subunit ribosomal RNA
Source: RNAcentral